AUUGAACGCUGGCGGCAGGCCUAACACAUGCAAGUCGAGCGGAUGAAGGGAGCUUGCUCCUGGAUUCAGCGGCGGACGGGUGAGUAAUGCCUAGGAAUCUGCCUGGUAGUGGGGGAUAACGUCCGGAAACGGGCGCUAAUACCGCAUACGUCCUGAGGGAGAAAGUGGGGGAUCUUCGGACCUCACGCUAUCAGAUGAGCCUAGGUCGGAUUAGCUAGUUGGUGGGGUAAAGGCCUACCAAGGCGACGAUCCGUAACUGGUCUGAGAGGAUGAUCAGUCACACUGGAGCUUGAACACGGUCCAGAGUACUACGGGAGGCAGCAGUGGGGAAUAUUGGACAGUGGGCGAAAGCCUGAUCCAGCCAUGCCGCGUGUGUGAAGAAGGUCUUCGGAUUGUAAAGCACGUUAAGUUGGGAGGAAGGGCAGUAAGUUAAUACCUUGCUGUUUUGACGUUACCAACAGAAUAAGCACCGGCUAACUUCGUG
This 484-nucleotide ribosomal RNA is filed under the name uncultured bacterium. Its description in RNAcentral is "partial 16S ribosomal RNA". It matches the Rfam family "Bacterial small subunit ribosomal RNA", at positions 30 to 507 of the family's 1533-position model. The record is from RNAcentral.